This is a long non-coding RNA of Etheostoma spectabile (orangethroat darter), 193 nucleotides long. RefSeq lists it as uncharacterized. Lineage: Eukaryota; Metazoa; Chordata; Actinopteri; Perciformes; Percidae. The record is from RefSeq and is a predicted model, not a curated record. The transcript has 3 exons.
CUUAAAUUCAGUGAAAGUAUCCUUCAUUUCACUUGUAAAGAGCCUUUUAUGGAACCACCCACGUUAUUUUGGGGCAACUUGAUUGAAAGAAACCCCAAAUGUCGGAUUUAGAAACUUUUGAAAAUGGGUCAAAUUGGACUCGAGGACAACAGGAGGGUAAAAGCUGCAUCUAUUUUUUCAGUCUUUCAAAAAU